CCGCGCUUGUGCGAGAGGUUUUUGCCCAAUCCACACCUCACGCGCCGCAUUGACCUGCUUGCCCAAUCCCCGCGGCGGUUGGCUGGUUGACUCAUCGCGCCAGCACGUCCUCGCCUCCUUAGUGCCAUGAGAGGCGCCGCCUCUGCCUCUGGAAGAAGCGGCAGGGAUUGGUGGAGCAUCGAAAGUGGCCGGGGUCAACGGUUGAGGGAGGAUCACCCACCAGAGCAGUAGGAGAAAGACCUUGAGGUGGUCCAGAUUUGCCUCUACAUCCUUUUCCUCUUUUCCUAGGUUUUGAUCUCCUGUACAUAUUUUGGCCACCUAAGUUCUAUCCGCUCUCUGUCAAUUUCAGUGAAGCUGCAUCAUCCAACAUAGCGAGAUGAAGUACUCAGAAAAAAUUGCAGCAAGUGCGAUUGAUACUCAGGGAAUUGAUCUGAUUCUGAAUCUUCCCUUCUUCCGGUACUUAUUUCACACUCUCUCUGAUUGGUCAAUGUGCUAUGCAAAGCUGUUUGAUAUAUGGAUUAAAUUUGCUUUUGUACAUGUCUGGAUCGUACUUAAUGUUAUUCCCUUUUGAAUUAGCAAGAUCUAGACGAUAAUUCACAACAAUGUCAAUGUUAGGUUUGAUUUACCACCAGUGCUCUUUAGAUUACAAAGGGUUUUUAAUUCAGCAUUCAACUCCGCCUUUGUCAGUAUAAAAAAUUCAUAAAUAGACUUGGUCUCUUCUUUAUUAUCUGGGUGCAUUAUGUACUAUGCAUGGCACUAACUGUGAGUAUUUUUGCCAGUCAGUAUGCAUUGGUCUACUUUGGAUCUUUUUUGUCUCACUUUAUACUUGUUCUGCUAUUUGUCGUGUAUGCACAUGAUUUGGAUUGAUCUACUUAGAAGCAUGAGUUUAUGAAAAUUAAUAUCUACUAGGAUUGCUCUGCUCCUGUUGACAUGCGAUGGCAAUUGUGACAUGACAGAGUUGUCUGAAGUGGAAUGGAUUGUCGUCACCUUUGACUAAGCUGUCGAGCCCAAGAACUGUGGCAGACUGGUGGCCCAGCUGUUCAACUUCUCAACACCGUUUAAUUUUGUCUUUGGCUGUCCUUGCGUCCACUCAGCAGAGAAGUAUCUAUACUGAAUUUCUGCUCUAGAUAACUUAUACUCAUAUAAUUUAUCUCUAAUACCCAGUCCAAAACAUUAGUUUCAAAAUGUAACUCUUUGCGGCCCUAAUUCGACAGUACUUUGAGUGCUUCCUAUAGGAACAGGAGUGAGCAAAGACGAAGUCACCUGAGAUGGGAAAAACAGAAGUAUAUGUUAAUAACCAGAUUUUCAACUUUUGUUGACCUUUUAUUUUAAGUAUAUGUUAAUAACCAGAUUUUCAACUUUUGUUGACCUUUUAUUUUAACUGAAUGAUAUGUUCUAGCAUUUGAGCUACUAAUCAUAAAUAUUCAGUCAGCUAUCCGUAAGACGCCACAUGUUCUUAGCUGCUAUAUUUUAUACCUGAAAUUAUUUUCUAAGUCCACAUAACGAAGGCAAAAGUCAUGAAAAUUAUGAAAGCCUUUUUGAAAAAAUGAAAAUCACAGAAAGGAUCUUGGAAAAAAGAAUUACUUGUGAACAAUCAUUUUGACUGAUGAGUUGAUCUCUGCCUAAUGAAUCCACUGAGAUAUUGGAGAGCUUUUCUGCUUCAUGAGAAAGAGCCACAGAUGGCCGACUAAUACCCAUUAUAGCAGGAUUUUGCAUAUGAUGUGCAUACACAAGGUGCCGCUGGGUGAUACGGCAGUUCUCUGAACAUAGAAUACUAGAUUAAAGCACUCACAGUAUUUCUUCAGGCACUCAGAUCUCUUGCAGUGGCACCCCUUUGUAUGCUUACCCACAGGAGGGCCUUCUGCCAGUUUGCAUGAUAAAAAUAGAAGUGAUUGUUUGAAAAUAUACAUUGUGCUCUACCUCGCCGUUCUGGGCUGCAUGUGGAGGGAUAUUCCAAAUUUUGGGCAUAAAGGCCACAGGGUUUCUUUCAAGGCACUAGGCAAAUCACGAAUAGCUCGCCCCUUGUGCUAUAUUUAUAGCAGGUUGUACCCGGCAUAUAUUGUGAGAUUUGAUCUGGUAGAGACGAAGGACCGAGAUAGUCUGGUCUUACCUACAUAUAUGAGUCGUUAUUGAGGACUGAGCAUCGAGCGUGAUUCCGUUUCCAGUCCAUGUAGAUUAGGCAUUGGACGACUUAGCUAGAAACUUUAUAGGUUUUUAGUUUAUAUAUCAGUUAUGUUGUCAUGAUUUGCUUUUUAUGAACCUUGAUAAUACUAUCCUGGAUUUGUGACAACAGUCUACAGAUUUUUCCCUUUAUUUUUUAUCAUUGUGAAGAACAAAUCUACAAAAUUCAACCAGUUGUGAACUCAUCAAGUACGAGAUCUCUGUCUAAUAUCAUUUCUGUAGGUCGAACCUGAAAGGAUGCCAGCCGAUUGCUUUUCCAAAACUGAAGUUUCAUGUCUUGAAACUUUCCCCAUUUUUCUUUUCAGAGGACAAAGGACAUCCGGAUUAGUUAGCUUCUUUUUACAGUUCCUAUCCAUUGAACUAUAUGCAGUUUUCAGCUAGACCUCAUUUUAUAGUGCCUAUCCAUUGAACUAUAUGCAGUGUCAACAAACAUUGUGAGAUGCGAUGGCUGCAAUGGUGGGGCCAAACAAUCCUACGGCAGCAGUAGUCAUCCCAUGAUAAAUCUCUGUUAAGUGCUCCUUUCUCUUUACCUCUUUACUCCCGUGUAUCUGAUUUUGAUGUCAUAGUCUAUGUUUUUAGCUAGACACCGUGCUUGCAGAUUUCAUAAAGAAGGGUAGAUGAAGAAGCUAUCAGAAGAAUUUGUUGAACGGAACUUGCAUUUUGAUGUUAUGAGUGUAGAAAUAUAUUCUGCAUUUUUAGGAAAUUAGAUAAUAGGACCUGCUAAAGGAGAACUUGGGUCAAGCUAUUUCUUUAUUUGUUUGUGCAACCAACCUUAUUUGGUUCUGAUUGGAAGAUAAUACGACCGGCUGUACAAACUUCUAUUGAGUAAAGCUCAUUGUUAAGUUCAGAUAUAAUUAUGUGUCUCGAAUUCUUGUUAUUUUUCAUUUCUUAUGUGAAAUAAAUCAUCAGUUGGCAUACUUGGUUUCCCAUAUUGUUUU
This 3119-nucleotide ribosomal RNA is filed under the name Triticum aestivum (bread wheat). RNAcentral's name for it is "partial small subunit ribosomal RNA". Lineage: Eukaryota; Viridiplantae; Streptophyta; Magnoliopsida; Poales; Poaceae. The record is from RNAcentral.